This 406-nucleotide ribosomal RNA is filed under the name uncultured bacterium. Its description in RNAcentral is "partial 16S ribosomal RNA". It matches the Rfam family "Bacterial small subunit ribosomal RNA", at positions 30 to 526 of the family's 1533-position model. The record is from RNAcentral.
AUUGAACGCUGGCGGCAGGCCUAACACAUGCAAGUCGAACGAGUGGCGGACGGGUGAGUAAUGUCUGGGAAACUGCCUGAUGGAGGGGGCUAACUACUGGAAACGGUAGCUAAUACCGCAUACCAUCCGAUGUUCCCAGAUGGGCUUGGCUUGUUGGUGGGGUAACGGCUCACCAAGGCGACGAUCCCUAGCUGGUCUGAGAGGAUGACCAGCCACCCGGGAACUGAGACACGGUCCAGACUCCUACGGGAGGCAGCAGUGGGGAAUAUUGCACAAUGGGCGCAAGCCUGAUGCAGCCAUGUCGCGUGUAUGAAGAAGGCCUUCGGGUUGUAAAGUACUUUCAGCGAGGAGGCGUUACCCGCAGAAGAAGCACCGGCUAACUCCGUGCCAGCCGCCGCGGUAAUAC